GCCUCUGUAGCUCAAUCUGGUAGAGCAAUUGCUUCGUAAGCAAUAGGUUGUGGGUUCGAUUCCCGUCGAAGGCU
Molecule: transfer RNA, 74 nt
Filed under: Nanobdellota archaeon
Lineage: Archaea; Nanobdellati; Nanobdellota
Description: tRNA-Thr
Rfam family: tRNA
About the family: Transfer RNA (tRNA) molecules are approximately 80 nucleotides in length. Their secondary structure includes four short double-helical elements and three loops (D, anti-codon, and T loops).
Source: RNAcentral